CGGAAAGUUCCAGCAGUGUGGUUUCUACAGCUGGGCAUGGAGCUGGCCUGGCUAGAAACAGCUCAGGUCCUCCCAGCCCCCAUUUCCCACAGGGCUAUCUGUGUCAUGGAUGGAGACAGAGCAGGGUGAUGAACAGCCCUGCCCAGCAGCUUCCAGUGCCUCAUCGGUCUGCUGAGCCUCGAGGUCGGCCAGCCUUUGUGCCUUUGUUCUGAAAAAGAGGCUGUGAGGACAGGGGUCCUCUCCGUCCAUCUCCAGUGAAGGUGAAACAGACCAGAUUCUGUGCAGCACUGUGUCAGACUAAAGGCUGCUUCCCUGCGUGUUCUGAUUUCACCUCGGCAGACCACAGCAAAUCUGUUGCCUUGAUAAAACGUCAGAUCAUAUCAACUCUAGGAGGAAAGAUCUUAGCUUGCUCACACUUGAAGGCUACCGUCGGGGUGGGAGAGUCACAGCUGGCGCCAGCAGCAUGAGACAGCUCGUCAUGCCACAUCUGAAGCCAGGGAGCAGAGAGGGAUGAAUUCAGGUGCUGUGGAAUAAUCCUCUUGUACACUGUAAAGAUUUGUCAUUUGAAUUGGUUUAAUAAAACGCUGAUUGGCCAUUAUCCAUACUUAUAGGAAGUAUAAGCAGGGCAACCAAACUAAGGAUGAUGGGAAGGAGAGGGGCAGAGUUAGGAGUCACCAGCCACAUGCAGAGGGAGCAGGAGAUGAACAUGCCUUACUAACAAAGGUACUGCCACAUGGCAGAGCAUAAAUAGAAAUAUGGGUUAAAUGUAAGAGUCAGCUAGUAACAAGCCUGAGCUAUUGGCUGAUCAUUUAUAAGUAAUAUUAAGCCUCUGAAUGGUUAUUUGGGAACUGACAGGUGGGAGAGAAACAUCCAUUUGCACUCAGGUGCUUGGUUCACACUCCUUUUUAUGCAUUUCUAGUCUCUAGCUCAAGGGAUGACAUCAACAAUGCUCAGGACCCAGGGAGUAGGGGGACAGGGGUCUCCCAAACUUAAUUAAGCCAAUAUAGAAACUUCCUCACAAGCAUGCCCCAAACUUGCCCAGAGUUUUGUCUCCUAAGUGCUUCUUGAUUCUGCCAAGUUGGCAGGCAAUGUUACCCUCCAGAGAGACUAAAAAGGAAGAAGGCUGGAACUGAAGGGGAAGAUCAGGAUCACAGCUGUGCACACCUCCAUCGCAGGGUUGGGUUGCCCGGUCAUGGGUGUGGCAAGUCCAGCCCCAAGGACCUCAUCCCUCCUCUACUUAAGACCCACGGCAUCUAGAAGACCAAUAGCACCCCCAUCUCUACUGUGUGGACAAGGACGCUGAGCCCCUGUCGUGCAAAUCACAAGUGGCUGUGUAGUGACUUGAACCCAGCACUCCAGGACUGGAUUGUUGUGAGCCUUUGUACUUUUGUGGUUUUCAGAGUGAGGUGAGGAAACGUGGAAGAAAGAAUGAAAGAACAAGGUCGCUGCCCAAGGAAGCAGUCCCCUUGUAUGGUGUAAGCACAGCACCCUACAGUGUCUGCAAGUAUUGUCACUAGAGAACCAGAGAAGGGAAGACUAGCUAGGGCACAGGUCACUCUCCAUCAGGGUGACAGGAAGGUCUCCUGAAGGUGUGGCAUCUGCAGAGGGCUGUUGAGAACAUCUAGAAUGACCAUAAAUCUAAAAGCAGGAUCAAGGACGCAGCUGAAGCAAGCCAGGGAUGGAGGCUGCCUGCCGAGGGGUAGCUGGCAUUUUCAGCUCCCACAUAAAGACACAGAGACUUACUAUUAAUUAUGAAUGCUCGGCCUUGACUUAGGCUUGUCCCACUAGCUCUUAUAACCUAAUUUAACCUGUUUCUAUUCAUCUGCAUUUUGCCUCAAGGCUUUUUACCUUCCUUUCAUUCUGUAUGUCCUACUUUCCUGCUUCCUCUGUGUCUGUCUGUCUGGCCCCUGGCACCUCUCUGUCAUCUCCUUUUCUCCCUUCCUUGAGCCUAAAUCCUCCUACUUACUGCCCUUCCUGGAAGUUCUGCCUAUACCUCCUCCCUCAAUAUUGGAUAUUGGCCAGUCAGCUUUUUAUUAGACCAAUCAGGAACUUCAGACAGGGGAAGAAAAACAGCAGCACAUCUUUGCAUAGUUAAACAAGCAGCACAUCUUUGCAGUUAAAUAUUCUGCAACCCUGAGGGACUGCAGGGCGCUUAGAAGGGACGGUGUAAUGAUUGAAUGAGGUGCCCACAGGCUUGGGCAUUUGAACACUUGGUCUCUAGUUGGUGGUGCUGUUGGGAGGUUUAGGAGGUGUGGCCUAGCUGGAGGAAGUGCGUCAUUGGAGGCAGGUUUUAGGAGCAUGUAGCCGCUCCCCAUUUCAUGUUUACAGUUGAGACAUGAUCUCUCAGCUUCCUGCUGCUGCCACUAUGCCUGCCAGCUGCCUUGCCUCCCGCCAUAAUGGACUCUCAUCCCUCUGGAACCAUAAGCCCAAAUAAACUCCUACUUCUGUGAGCCGCCUUUGGUCACGGUGUUUUAUCACAGCAACAGAAAAGUAACUAGUCCAAGUGGGAACAGAGAUCAACAAGGAAAAGAGGCCUCAGCAAGGGUGGGGGACAGCUCUCCCCACUCUCUAAGCAUGUAUCUAGGGGUGGGUAGGCGGUUAGAAGGGCCCUGGAGAAAGCAUCAGCUCUCUCCCAGAAGGAAAUCUCUCUGUGGCAAGAAAUAGGAAGCGUGGGGCUGAAGUUAGCUGCAGAGUCAGGGCCACUCUCUUCUACCCAGUGAGCCCCAGAAUGUCUGUGCUGAUCCUGGGCCAGGCGACCUCCACAGAGCCACCUGCUAGGCACGACGUCAAGCUCCAGCUGCCUGGCCAGAUGUUCUGUUAGCACCCUCUUCUGCCCCUGAUGCUUUUGUCUGUCUGUUUACUUAUUUUAUAUGUACAUGAGUUUAUAUAUUUCUGUGUGAACCAUGUGCAUGCCUGGUGCCUAUGGAAGCCAGAAGACAGUAUCAGAGCCCCUGGAAAUGGAGUUAUGGACAGUUGUGAGCCACCAUUUGUGUGCUGGGACUCAAACCCAGGUCCUUUGCAAGAAUAAAUAUUCCUUUUUGUU
Molecule: long non-coding RNA, 3043 nt
Organism: Peromyscus californicus insignis
Lineage: Eukaryota; Metazoa; Chordata; Mammalia; Rodentia; Cricetidae
Exons: 3
Source: RefSeq, a predicted model, not a curated record